This 1080-nucleotide long non-coding RNA is filed under the name Homo sapiens (human). RNAcentral's name for it is "HSALNT0119951". The record is from RNAcentral. Lineage: Eukaryota; Metazoa; Chordata; Mammalia; Primates; Hominidae.
GGAUGCAGCAGAUUCUACGGCUCUUCAGUCUGUGGUGCCCAUGCACGAUUUCUACCUGUUUUCAAAGGUUCUCACCUUUGUGUUGCCCUAAUGAUGUUUGCCUGUGCUUUAAUCUUAUUAAGUGCAGUUUGAGUGUGCUGAUGAGCCCAGACACUCUGCCUAAAUUGGUCACUUGAUUUUUCCCCACCUCUUACACCUGACACUCUCUCUAUCCACCACCACCUGUGAUCAAGCUUCUCUUCCCCCCUUGGGAAUGGGAGAAAUCCAAGAAUUUUAAAACACAUGAUAAAAUGAAGAAAUAAGACAAUGAAAAAAGACAUCAAUUUCUUUUUUUUCUUUCUAUUAAUUCUACAGUUUCAUGAGCCAGUUGAGGAGCUCAGGUAUGUCAUUCUUCCUGCAGAAGGACAUGGGCUGUAUUUGUAUGUGUGAAAAGACCAGCGAUGCCACCCGCCCUCUUGUUUUGGUUGCCUUAAUGAUGAUUGUGGAUUGUUAUAGAACUGAUGGGUCUGCAGACUCUGGAUCAAUAAGAGAGAUGGUCAAAAUGACCAAACUGGCCAGGUUGUCUUGCUGCUCAUUCACCCUAUUCCAAAAUGGCCAAAAACUCGAUGAUGGCUGGGGCAAAAGGACACUUUGAAGGUUGUAAACUGUAAAAAUUCCCUGCCCCAAAUCAGCAUGGGUCUUGGGCCAUUCAUUCUCACUGGAGGAUUGAAGUACUUGAGAAAAACAAUUGUGAUUUCAAAUGCUGAGGCUAGAAACCCUCCUAAAGAGGGCCUUUGUUGUUGUUGAUCACCCAAUUAGACAUGAAAAACCAGGCUGCAGGGCAGAACACUUCAAAGAAGAAAGCAGAACAAAGAAAAGGCUACAUUGCUCUGCACAGAGAAAAGAAAAAGAAGAUUCGGCCACCCAGAGGAGUCUGAGCUUCCUGGCAGGAGGCUGGAGGAAGGAGAGAAAGCAAUGGCUGGCCAGGUGUUCCUGGGGGCAGGAAUAUUUGGGAAAUAUCUAAUGUUCAAUUGUAGGUUGUUUUCUGGGCUGCAACUCUUUUCUGUUGCCCCUCGCAAAUCUUCAAUAAAAUCUGCUAUG